RNAcentral lists this transfer RNA (73 nucleotides) under Streptomyces phage StarPlatinum. RNAcentral's name for it is "tRNA-Arg". It matches the Rfam family "tRNA". Rfam says of the family: Transfer RNA (tRNA) molecules are approximately 80 nucleotides in length. Lineage: Duplodnaviria; Heunggongvirae; Uroviricota; Caudoviricetes; Stanwilliamsviridae. The record is from RNAcentral.
CUCUCCGUAGGCUAAUGGAUAAACCGAGAGGCUACGAACCUCUAAUUCUCAGUUCGAGUCUGGGCGGAGAGGC